ACUAGGCUGAAGAGUCUCAAAUAGGACGAAAUGAGCAUCCUGGAU
RNAcentral lists this non-coding RNA (45 nucleotides) under Trichobilharzia regenti. The record is from RNAcentral. Lineage: Eukaryota; Metazoa; Platyhelminthes; Trematoda; Strigeidida; Schistosomatidae.